UGUGGGAGCGAGCCUGCUCGCGAUAGCGGUCUGACAUUCAAUACUUCGUGGCUGUCAGAUCCAAUCGCGAGCAGGCUCGCUCCCACA
Molecule: non-coding RNA, 87 nt
Filed under: Pseudomonas sp. LAIL14HWK12:I2
Lineage: Bacteria; Pseudomonadati; Pseudomonadota; Gammaproteobacteria; Pseudomonadales; Pseudomonadaceae
Source: RNAcentral